GAUGAACGCUGGCGGUAUGCUUAACACAUGCAAGUCGAACGGACUCUUCGGAGUUAGUGGCGGACGGGUGAGUAACGCGUGAGAAUCUGGCUUUGGGUUCGGGACAACCACUGGAAACGGUGGCUAGUACCGGGUGUGCCGAGAGGUAAAAGAGAAAUUGCCUGAAGAUGAGCUCGCGUCUGAUUAGCUAGUUGGUGAGGUAAAGGCUCACCAAGGCAGCGAUCAGUAGCUGGUCUGAGAGGAUGACCAGCCACACUGGGACUGAGACACGGCCCAGACUCCUACGGGAGGCAGCAGUGAGGAAUUUUCCGCGAUGGGCGAACGCCUGACGGAGCAAUACCGCGUGAGGGAAGAAGGCUCUUGGGUUGUAAACCUCUUUUCUUAGACAAGAACAAAAUGACGGUACCUAAGGAAUCAGCAUCGGCUAACUCCGUG
RNAcentral lists this ribosomal RNA (435 nucleotides) under uncultured bacterium. RNAcentral's name for it is "partial 16S ribosomal RNA". It matches the Rfam family "Bacterial small subunit ribosomal RNA", at positions 28 to 507 of the family's 1533-position model. The record is from RNAcentral.